GGAUGUGAAGGCAAUCUGGCUGAGGCAUCUGUCACCCCAUUGGUCUCCAGGGUUGAUUGUGAUGAUCUGUCUGGUUAAGCGGGUGACCCCUUCCUCCUUCACCAGUCCAUAUGUGUCCCUCCGGAAGCUUCAAGAGGACUAUUUCCUCCCCAAAAGAGACAGACUUGUCUAAUGCUCCCCUACUAGAACCUCCAGACAAGCUCUCAAGAAACACUGUUAGGCACUGAGUAGAUUUGCUCCUUCUCUUGAUGAGAAAGUUCACGUCAAAAGAA
Erinaceus europaeus (western European hedgehog) is the source of this 272-nucleotide unclassified non-coding RNA. Its record names the gene 7SK. It matches the Rfam family "7SK RNA". Rfam says of the family: 7SK was discovered as an abundant small nuclear RNA in the mid-70s but a possible function has only recently been suggested. Two independent studies have found that 7SK RNA binds the CDK9/cyclin T complex (known as elongation factor P-TEFb). P-TEFb activates transcription by phosphorylating the C-terminal domain of RNA polymerase II. NCBI's taxonomy places the organism in Eukaryota, Metazoa, Chordata, Mammalia, Eulipotyphla, Erinaceidae. The record is from Ensembl.